Molecule: long non-coding RNA, 481 nt
Filed under: Mytilus galloprovincialis (Mediterranean mussel)
Lineage: Eukaryota; Metazoa; Mollusca; Bivalvia; Mytilida; Mytilidae
Source: RNAcentral
GACUUUGCGUGCCUUACAUUGUCCAUGGCUUGUGCUUCAACAUAAGUCGGAGUUCUUUUAAACAUUUGUCAUAAACAAAAAGAUCAAAGAAAUGGGACAUUUAAAUUUACAUGCACAUAUAUUGAUACCAAUUCAAACUUGUAUAUUUAUGUUCCCUCUAUAGAUCCUCCAGAACUAGAAAUUAAAGGAAAAAAAACCAGACACGGCUUCCUGCUCCUUACUUGCACAUUUAUACCCAAAUAAAAAGAAAUACAACACUAUCGUACUCGUAGAGAAAUUCAUAAAGGAAAAAACCUUAAUCAAAUGGCAAAAUUAAAACCUCAAACACAUCAAACGAAUGGAUAAUAAUUGUCCUAUUCCUGACACGAUACAAGCAUUUUCUUAUGUAGAAAAUGAUGGAUAAAAACUGGUUUGAUAGCUACCAAAACCGCUCACAAGUCAAACGAGAUGAUUUUAAUUUUGAUAUAAUCAAUUUCCCCCA